This 2651-nucleotide long non-coding RNA is filed under the name Ananas comosus (pineapple). RNAcentral describes it as "long non-coding RNA (ACOM_LNC000784)". Lineage: Eukaryota; Viridiplantae; Streptophyta; Magnoliopsida; Poales; Bromeliaceae. The record is from RNAcentral.
AACAAUAUGGGUAAGUGUAAUACUAAAUACAGUAACAACAAUAAUGAACGAAAGAGAUAGAACUAUAAAUGAAAGCACAACUACCGCUACUGUAAUGAACAACUGAAAGUAUACAUGCAGCUAAACUAUAGUAGCAAGACAAGUGUAAAGAAAGAACUGAAGGUAUACAAACAACAACCGCUACUAUAGCUAUAUGCAAUCGGUCAAGAAGUCCAAAUAUAUCCAAUCUGAUAUCUGCUGCUUUAUUGGUCCGCACCGCAAACCACAAGCCUAUGCCACUACUACUCUCCAAUGUAUAUAACCCCUCUAGGGCUCACGGGUUGACACCUGCAACCACUUUUCCGGAAAAGAACACUCCCUGCGGUGGAUUAGACCGCCAGUGUUCAUGAAAUGCGACGAGUAUCGGGCGGUCAAUGCUGAUAUGCUCAAAGGCCAAACGUCGGCAACCAGCCGACAAUCCUGCCCACAGGGCUCAUCGACCGUAUAGGUCAUCAACUGUAAGGAAGCACAAGAACUGACCACUCAGGUCAACUAGGAUGGGACAACAUCAACAUCCUCUCAAACAUAUGCAAAUACUGCUCAAUGAACCACAAAGACUGACCACUUAGAUCAACUAGGAUAUAUGCACAACGAAUCGACGAAUAGGUCAUCAGGGUGUAUCAAUGGAAUCCAGAACUACCGUCGGCCACUAGCCAACAAUCCAACCCCUCUAGGGUACAUCGACCACAACGGUCAUCGAACGACAGAAGUCAAGGAACCGACCGAAUGUGUCACAAAUACGAGAUACAAGAACAGACCAACUAGGUCACUGAUACGGAGUACGAAAACCAACCAACCAGGUCACUGAUACGAAGUACAAGAAUCGACCAACCAAGUCACUGAUAUGAAGUACAAGAAUCGACNAUAAACAACAAUAUGGGUAAGUGUAAUACUAAAUACAGUAGCAACAAUAAUGAACGAAAGAGAUAGAACUAUAAAUGAAAGCACAACUACCGCUACUGUAAUGAACAACUGAAAGUAUAUAUGCAGCUAAACUAUAGUAACAAGACAAGCGUGAAGAAAGAACUGAAGGUAUACAAACAACAACCGCUACUAUAGCUAUAUGCGUCAAUCGGUCAAGAAGUCCAAAUAUAUCCAAUCUGAAAUCUGUUGCUCUAUUGGUCCACACCGCAAACCUCAAGCCUAUGCCACUACUACUCUCCCAUGCAUAUAACCCCUCUAGGGCUCACGGGUUGACACCUGCAACCACUUUUCCGGAAAAGAACACUCUUUGCGGUGGAUCAGACCGCGAGCGUUCGUGAAAUGCGACGAGUAUCGGGCGGUCAAUGCUGAUAUGCUCAAAGGCCAAACGUCGGCAACCAGCCGACGAUCCUGUCCACAGGGCUCAUCGACCAUAUAGGUCAUCAACUGUAAGGAAGCACAAGAACUGACCACUCAGGUCAACUAGGAUGGAACAACUCAACAUCCCCUCAAACAUAUGCAAGUACUGCUCAAUGAAUCACAAGGACUGACCACUCAGGUCAACUAGGAUAUAUGCAUAACGAAUCGACGAAUAGGUCAUCAAAGUAUAUCAAUAGAAUCCAGAACUACCGUCGGCCACUAGCCAACAAUCCAACCCCUCUAGGGUACAUCGACCACAACGGUCAUCGAACGACAGAAGUCAAGGAACCGACCAAAUGUGUCACAAAUACGAGAUACGAGAACCAACCAACCAAGUCACUGAUACGAAGUACAAGAAUCGACCAACCAAGUCACUGAUAUGAAGUACAAGAAUCGACCAACCAAGUCACUGAUAUGAAGUACAAGAAUCGACCAACGAGGUCAACAGAUACGCACAAAGAUAGAACCACUCUACUCCUACUCAGGAUACUAAGCAUGCAAACAACGAGUAGAGUAUAAUAGAAUAACAUGGGUGCAAGGCUCAANAGGUCACUGAUACGGAGUACGAAAACCAACCAACCAGGUCACUGAUACGAAGUACAAGAAUCGACCAACCAAGUCACUGAUAUGAAGUACAAGAAUCGACCAACCAGGUCAACAGAUACGUACAUAGAUAGAACCACUCUACUCCUACUCAGGAUACUAAGCAUGCACACAACGAGUAGAGUAUAAUGGAAUAACAUGGGUGCAAGGCUCAAUGUAUACUAUGCAAUAAUAACAACAGAAGAGUAAGGGUAAGAAACCAUCACCGAGUGUGCAUCACUGUACCGACGUCGGAUCGAAGUACCCACCUGUACAAAUGUCGCGCUUGUCUCCUGACUGCAAAAGAACGUCAAUCGGACCUAAGGAGGGUCCACUGGGUUAGUGUCCAACCCACAAACAAUAAACGCUGAAUCUACAACCCCACAAACUAAACCCACGGAUAUCGGUUUCCCAAAACCGAUUACCGUAACUCGCCGGAAGUCCCGAAAUCGCACCGGGACUCCGUCGGGACCCACGAACUAUCCCGUAACACACCGACUCGUGCUAUGAGUCACCCGCUGCCACUAAAUAUAAAUAAUCGUGCAUCAUGGCAGCAAACACAACUCACGUCGAAACAAUUAUCGUCGGAUAAUCAUUUCGAUCCGGGUUCCUGGAAGUGUCUAAUUCGACACCGGAACUCACCGUCGCUCACCCGUCAUUUCUAAACUCUCGAAAUGACGCGAGUGAUC